GCGGAUGUAGCUCAGUGGUAGAGCAUCACCUUGCCAAGGUGAGGGUCGCGGGUUCAAGUCCCGUCAUCCGCUC
RNAcentral lists this transfer RNA (73 nucleotides) under Promicromonospora citrea. Its description in RNAcentral is "tRNA-Gly". It matches the Rfam family "tRNA". From Rfam's summary of the family: Transfer RNA (tRNA) molecules are approximately 80 nucleotides in length. The record is from RNAcentral. RNAcentral also lists the same sequence under 6 other names. Lineage: Bacteria; Bacillati; Actinomycetota; Actinomycetes; Micrococcales; Promicromonosporaceae.